Molecule: long non-coding RNA, 2674 nt
Organism: Tachysurus fulvidraco (yellow catfish)
Lineage: Eukaryota; Metazoa; Chordata; Actinopteri; Siluriformes; Bagridae
Exons: 2
Source: RefSeq, a predicted model, not a curated record
CUUUGAUUUGACUCUCUUAGAAAUAAAAUAUCAUAUCUUUUUUUUUCCCCAUGUAAAGUCAAAUGUUACAAGUGUAUGGUGUGUAAUACUGUGUGUACAGUACGUGUGUGUACUGUGGGGAUACUAAUAGUAAAAUUUGUGCAGUGGUUUCAGUCAUUUUUGGUGAAUUACUAAGUUGAUCCUUCUUAGAAUUUGUUAUGGAGUCAAUGUGCUAUUUAGCAAUGAAAGGCUGUGUGUGCGUGUUUGUGUGUGUUUGUGUGUGUGUGUGUGUGUGUGUGUGUGUGUGUGUGUUUGGGGAGGGGGUGAUGGUGAGUUACUGGCCCUAGAACAGCUGGAUACAGUGUUGCCAGAGUGUUAAAAAUGGCACGUAAUCCAUGGGUUCCAGUAAUGCAGUGCUGUAGCGGACAUCGUUUAGCAAUCCACUCAAUUAAUACAACAUAUUCAGCUCAUUGCUUAAUUAUAAAUGACAUUUUCUAAGCUAGCUUUAGUAAAAAGAUGAACACAAUUCUGUUAGAUGGCUAUGCAGCCAGGAGUUUGGACCUAAAGUGAAAAAAGUUAACAUAUUAACCCUUUCAUUUAUACAUGCCCAGCAGGAUUGUUUUUUUGUUUUUUUUUGUAGUGAAAUCUCAUGUCAUCUCAUAUUAAUUACUUUAGUUGAAUGUAGUUACGUUUUUCAAAAGUGAUUUUGUUUCUGUCGUAUGGUGAGGACAAGAAUUUGAGGAGGGCUAAAUGUAGUAAAAGAUGAACUUGAACAUUUUAUUGUAAUGCUACACCAACAAGCACAUUAAUAAAAAUCUGAUUGUUUGAAAAAUUAAUCAACACCUUCGGACUAAUCAGAUGUGAGCUUUGAGGUAGAAUAAUGAAUAAUACUCAUGAAGAUACCCUUUUUAUUCUGUUUUCUAUCCCUCUGUUUUGUGGUGCUGGAAACGUUCAUAAUAAUGUAACUAUGUAUAUUGCAAACAAAUUUCUCAUUCUCCUCUGAAAAGGGGUUGUGGUAACAGGUUAAACGAUACCUCACCUUUCUGCAUAAUUCUGUGUAUAUAUUUAAAAUGUCUACUUGUCAUCGUUCUGUACCUAUGAACACAUAAAUACUCACUGAUAAAGAAAUUGACUGUCUCAAUCUGUCAGAAUAGCUGACUGCAUGGCAGUAAUGUAUUGAUAGAUUUUGCAUUAUUAUGAUGAUGCAUCUAUGUUAUAAAACACAAAAGAAACACUAUUUACAAAACUGAUGCAGAUGAUUGAGAAAAUGUUCAUCAUUUUUUUUUAAUGCUGGCCAAUCUGGCAACACUAACACACCAGUCCACCCUGUUUUUCAAUAUUGAUUUACUGGAGUUCGUUGUUCACCAUUUUAAUGACCCACUUGACUGUGUGUUUUUGAGGCAAAAACCUACAGGUUUUGUGUUCAUAGUAUGAUUUUCUUUCUCGUCUUUUUUCACCCAUGUCUUAAUGGGUGUAAAGCCUGUGCCUCUCCCAAACACAGUUUCAUUUUGCAUUCCACAACUUUGAAACCAGAACAUAUGGUUUUCAUCAAAGCUCCCUGUUGUUCCCUCUCUCAGUGUAUCUUUUUCUCCUUGGAUUGGUUCCAGUAUCCACUCACUUCCUGUGCAGAAAUCUCCAGUGAAAGAAUAAAUACACUUCAGUUGCUUCAUAAAACAGUAGUAAUUUUGUCUUGCUAUUCUUUCGUAAAUUCACUGUAAAAUAGUACUUGUAAACUGAAAGGCUUAUGUUGGAGCAUUUUUAAGAAGCUGCAUCAUUAUAAAUGUCACUUGUGGCCCCUGCAGUGUGCAUUCCACCAGUAAAAAGAAUUUGUUCCACUCUUCCCUCCCUUCACAAAAUUGUCUUGCAGAAACCAAUUGUAAUACUUUCAUCUGCAUCAACAAUGAGGACAACAUAUAAUGUUAUGUCUGCAUCUAAGUGAAUAAAGCCUAGGACUGUUCAUGCUGCAAAUGGGUCUGAUUCGUGGAGAUUCCUACAGAUAUGUGACCUCAUGUUUUAGCCAGAGCUUCUGUAUACUGUAAUCUGAAGAUAUGUCCAUAUGUCCAGCCUAUCCAAUAAGAUUCCAGAAUUCAAGCCUGCUGUGGAAUAUGGCUCAAAUAUCAGAAAGUUAGGCCAUUAUUCCACGUACCACCUUGCUUACAGUCAAUAUUUAACUGUUCCUAUAUGGAAUUAUACAGUGUGUAAAUGAAAAUAAGUUUUACAAUUUAACACAUUAAAGUUAAAAUGAAUGCUGAUUCAGAAGAAGAAGAGACUGAGCAAUAGUUUAUCAACUGUAUUUUUCCUAUUUUGCUGAUCUCCCUUUCUACUGAUUUACAACCAGCACCAUUAAUCUAUAUACAUAUCCUCAGUCCAAUAAGCCAAAACGUCUAUACUUAGUCUUAUUAUGCACUGUUCUUUCCUAUUUAAAUUACAAUUGUUACUAUUACUGAAUAUUACCAAAACUCUUGACCUGUAUUUGGAUGAGUGUAUGCAUUGCACCGUUAUUUGUAUAGCUGUAAACCUACAGUUGGAACAAUCUGGAAGAACAAAACAUUUAGCAUUAUUGGCACAAAUUUAAAUAAGUACAGAAUGUUUGAGAACCAACACACACACACACACACACACACACACACACACACACACACACACACACACACACACACACACACACACACACACACACACACAGAAAUGUGUA